This 468-nucleotide ribosomal RNA is filed under the name uncultured bacterium. RNAcentral's name for it is "partial 16S ribosomal RNA". It matches the Rfam family "Bacterial small subunit ribosomal RNA", at positions 28 to 507 of the family's 1533-position model. The record is from RNAcentral.
GAUGAACGCUGGCGGCGUGCUUAACACAUGCAAGUCGAACGGUGAAGGCGGAGCUUGCUCUGCUGGAUCAGUGGCGAACGGGUGAGUAACACGUGAGCAAUCUGCCCCUGACUCUGGGAUAAGCGCUGGAAACGGCGUCUAAUACUGGAUACGAGCUGCGAAGGCAUCUUCAGCAGCUGGAAAGAACUUCGGUCAGGGAUGAGCUCGCGGCCUAUCAGCUGGUUGGUGAGGUAACGGCUCACCAAGGCGUCGACGGGUAGCCGGCCUGAGAGGGUGACCGGCCACAAUGGGACUGAGACACGGCCCAGACUGCUACGGGAGGCAGCAGUGGGGAAUAUUGCACAAUGGGCGAAAGCCUGAUGCAGCAACGCCGCGUGAGGGACGACGGCCUUCGGGUUGUAAACCUCUUUUAGCAGGGAAGAAGCGAAAGUGACGGUACCUGCAGAAAAAGCGCCGGCUAACUACGUG